RNAcentral lists this ribosomal RNA (419 nucleotides) under uncultured bacterium. Its description in RNAcentral is "partial 16S ribosomal RNA". It matches the Rfam family "Bacterial small subunit ribosomal RNA", at positions 355 to 774 of the family's 1533-position model. The record is from RNAcentral. RNAcentral also lists the same sequence under 2 other names.
UGGGGAAUAUUGCACAAUGGGCGAAAGCCUGAUGCAGCGACGCCGCGUGAGGGAUGACGGCCUUCGGGUUGUAAACCUCUUUCAGUAGGGAACAAGGCCAGCAUUUUUGUUGGUUGAGGGUACUUGCAGAAGAAGCGCCGGCUAACUACGUGCCAGCAGCCGCGGUAAUACGUAGGGCGCAAGCGUUAUCCGGAAUUAUUGGGCGUAAAGAGCUCGUAGGCGGUUUGUCGCGUCUGCCGUGAAAGUCCGGGGCUCAACUCCGGAUCUGCGGUGGGUACGGGCAGACUAGAGUGAUGUAGGGGAGACUGGAAUUCCUGGUGUAGCGGUGAAAUGCGCAGAUAUCAGGAGGAACACCGAUGGCGAAGGCAGGUCUCUGGGCAUUAACUGACGCUGAGGAGCGAAAGCAUGGGGAGCGAACA